Molecule: long non-coding RNA, 283 nt
Filed under: Homo sapiens (human)
Lineage: Eukaryota; Metazoa; Chordata; Mammalia; Primates; Hominidae
Description: non-protein coding lnc-NOS2-6:1
Source: RNAcentral
GGUAUAAUCCAGUUACCAAGAAUGUGACUGUCAAAAGUGAAGGCCUAUUCAGGUCAUCUUCACACUUGUUCAAUCCUCAACAAUUUCAAACAAUGAAUGAGAGAAAAGAAAGGCAGCUAGCACCAGCACCACUGAUGCCAGCGAUCCAUCUACUAAAGAGUUUGAAACUUUCAUUAAAGACCUUUCAGCUGAGAAUAAUUUGGAAAGCCUCAUGUUAUGUUCCUCCUCAAAUCUGGCUCUUUUUCCAUACCAUUCCUACAAAGAGACAUCAUGGUUCAUUAGA